RNAcentral lists this ribosomal RNA (822 nucleotides) under uncultured bacterium. Its description in RNAcentral is "bacterial SSU rRNA". It matches the Rfam family "Bacterial small subunit ribosomal RNA", at positions 636 to 1457 of the family's 1533-position model. The record is from RNAcentral.
UNUGACUUGAGUGCAGAAGGGGAGAGUGGAAUUCCAUGUGUAGCGGUGAAAUGCGUAGAUAUAUGGAGGAACACCAGUGGCGAAAGCGGCUCUCUGGUCUGUCACUGACGCUGAGGCUCGAAAGCGCGGGUAGCGAACAGGAUUAGAUACCCUGGUAGUNCACGCCGUAAACGAUGAGUGUUAGGUGUUAGGCCCUUUCCGGGGCUUAGUGCCGGAGCUAACGCAAUAAGCACUCCGCCUGGGGAGUACGACCGCAAGGUUGAAACUCAAAGGAAUUGACGGGGGCCCGCACAAGCGGUGGAGCAUGUGGUUUAAUUCGAAGCAACGCGAAGAACCUUACCAGGUCUUGACAUCCCGAUGCUAUUCUUAGAGAUAGGAAGUUACUUCGGUACAUCGGAGACAGGUGGUGCAUGGUUGUCGUCAGCUCGUGUCGUGAGAUGUUGGGUUAAGUCCCGCAACGAGCGCAACCCUUAUUGUUAGUUGCCAUCAUUAAGUUGGGCACUCUAGCGAGACUGCCGGUAAUAAACCGGAGGAAGGUGGGGAUGACGUCAAAUCAUCAUGCCCCUUAUGACCUGGGCUACACACGUGCUACAAUGGUCGGUACAACGAGUUGCGAGCCGGUGACGGCAAGCUAAUCUCUGAAAGCCGAUCUCAGUUCGGAUUGGAGGCUGCAACUCGCCUCCAUGAAGUCGGAAUCGCUAGUAAUCGCGGAUCAGCACGCCGCGGUGAAUACGUUCCCGGGCCUUGUACACACCGCCCGUCACACCACGAGAGUUUGUAGCACCCGAAGUCGGUGAGGUAACCUUUUAGGGGCCAGCCGCC